CCGCGAGGAAAGGGGACGUACGGACAACAGGCCGAUUAUUCCUGUGAUCGGGGCUACACCUUGACUGGAGAAAGAAUCAUUACCUGCACCGACACUAGGCACUGGAGCCACCCCGCCCCCAUCUGUACAGCUGUAGAUUGUGGUGAACCACCAAGACUAGAGAACGGGAUCCACACUGGGAACGACUACAGCUUUGACAAAUGGCUCUUUUACCGCUGCAAUAAAGGCUACGAGCUGUUUGGCAGUUCACGGAUACUCUGCACGCACGAGGGAUGGACCAAGCUCAAGACUUGGUGUCAAA
This is a long non-coding RNA of Amblyraja radiata (thorny skate), 301 nucleotides long. RefSeq lists it as uncharacterized. The transcript has 3 exons. The record is from RefSeq and is a predicted model, not a curated record. NCBI's taxonomy places the organism in Eukaryota, Metazoa, Chordata, Chondrichthyes, Rajiformes, Rajidae.